Molecule: long non-coding RNA, 912 nt
Organism: Colossoma macropomum (tambaqui)
Lineage: Eukaryota; Metazoa; Chordata; Actinopteri; Characiformes; Serrasalmidae
Exons: 2
Source: RefSeq, a predicted model, not a curated record
CUACGCCCACCUACUCUCAACUCACCUCUGUUUAUAUUAUCAAACGGCCUUCCUAUGACUGCACUAUGGUUCAGGGAACAUCUAGCCUUUGUCAUUUCAAAAUGUGGACUGUCCCCAACUCACUACAUUCUUUUAGAAUAGGAGCAGCUACAACUGCAGCUAAACUUGGUCUACCCAUCAAUUCAAUCAAGCUGCUUGGGAGAUGGUCCUCAUCUGCCUAUGAAUCCUACAUAAGGCCAGAUGCACAACUCAUCAUGGAUGCUCAGUUGGCUCUCUCAAAAUCUAUCAAGACUAGUCAAUCCAGGUAAAGCCUUUCCCGGUGGGUAUCCAUUAUCUCUUACAAUCUUUUGGGGUAUGCUUCGCCCCCUGCUGUCCCUGUAUGGCAGGAUCUGCGAAGCUCUACACAUUGAAGUACCUGGGCUGAUUAUGGGCCCGUGCCAAGGACUUUAACUUACAAAAUUUUGUUCUCUUUGGAAUUGUUAAAUACUAUUAGAUUAAACUAUUUUCCUUCCUUCACAUUUGUCUCUGGAGUCUUUCUGGUAGAAACGAAAGCUUUAGCACAAGUUCUGCCAGGGAGACUCCAAUGCUAUGUCACUCAUUACUCAUGUGACCAAUCACAAGCUUCCACCUGUCUUUAAAAUGACUUGACUUACACUCCUGCUUUGCUGCUUUCAGAUGCUGACGUUUUGUUGUUCCCCUCCUUCCUCCCUGUCGCAACCAGUUGGUCCCCCCUCGGCUGCCCAGGGGGUAUGCUCCGCCCCCUGCUGUCCCUGUACGGCAGGAUCUGCGAAGCUCUACACGUCGAAAUACCUGAGCUGAUGACGGGGCCUGCGCCAAGGACUUUAACUUACAAAAUUUUGUUAUCUUUGGAAUUGUUAAAUACUAUUAGAUUAAACUAUUUUCCUUCCUUCA